GACGAACGCUGGCGGCGUGCUUAACACAUGCAAGUCGAACGGAAAGGCCCUGCUUUUGUGGGGUGCUCGAGUGGCGAACGGGUGAGUAACACGUGAGUAACCUGCCCUUGACUUUGGGAUAACUUCAGGAAACUGGGGCUAAUACCGGAUAGGAGCUCCUGCUGCAUGGUGGGGGUUGGAAAGUUUCGGCGGUUGGGGAUGGACUCGCGGCUUAUCAGCUUGUUGGUGGGGUAGUGGCUUACCAAGGCUUUGACGGGUAGCCGGCCUGAGAGGGUGACCGGCCACAUCGGGACUGAGAUACGGCCCAGACUCCUACGGGAGGCAGCAGUGGGGAAUAUUGCACGAUGGGCGGAAGCCUGAUGCAGCAACGCCGCGUGCGGGAUGACGGCCUUCGGGUUGUAAACCGCUUUCGCCUGUGACGAAGCGUGAGUGACGGUAAUGGGUAAAGAAGCACCGGCUAACUACGUG
Molecule: ribosomal RNA, 468 nt
Filed under: uncultured bacterium
Lineage: Bacteria
Description: partial 16S ribosomal RNA
Rfam family: Bacterial small subunit ribosomal RNA
Source: RNAcentral